AGAGGGUGCGAGCGUUGUCCGGAAUCACUGGGCGUAAAGGGCGCGUAGGCGGCCUGAUAAGUAGGGGGUGAAAUCCUGUGGCUUAACUGCAGGGCUGCCUCCUAGACUGUCGGGCUCGAGCACGGUAGAGGCAGAUGGAAUUCCCGGUGUAGCGGUGGAAUGCGUAGAGAUCGGGAAGAACAUCGGUGGCGAAGGCGGUCUGCUGGGCCGUUGCUGACGCUGAGGCGCGACAGCGUGGGGAGCAGACAGGAUUAGAUACCCUGGUAGUCCACGCCGUAAACGAUGGACACUAGGCGUCGGGGGGAGCGACCCUCUCGGUGCCGUCGCUAACGCAGUAAGUGUCCCGCCUGGGGAGUACGGCCGCAAGGCUG
RNAcentral lists this ribosomal RNA (371 nucleotides) under uncultured bacterium. Its description in RNAcentral is "bacterial SSU rRNA". It matches the Rfam family "Bacterial small subunit ribosomal RNA", at positions 527 to 896 of the family's 1533-position model. The record is from RNAcentral.